AUGGAGGCCAAGGCGAACAAUCAUCGUCUGCAGUUGAGAUGCAGAAGAGUUUGCGCUGGUAUGUUCUUGCUCGCAUGCUCUCACAUGCUUUCUUAUCCGCAAGUGUACCCGAUCCUGAUGAUCCGUCUCAUACCUUAUUGCAAGAUUGGCCGGUGUGGAACAGACUUUGCAACUUUGGCCAGCACAUUGGAGUCCCUUCACUUGACAUCUCUUAUGGAUUAUGCAACCCAUCAGAAGCAGCCACUUGCCGUUUACGAACGGGCGUUAAAUCUUACCAUGUCAGAGGGAUGCAAACAGCGAAGGGAUCAUAAAAGAAUCUCCAGAAAGGUCAAGGCUGCACUAAGCAGAUAUGAGAUGCAUAAUUCGGGGCACGCCUGUUAUCAGCUUCAUGUGAUCUGUGGUGUGAUAGUAUCUCUAUCUGUUCGUGACUGGAAGCGAAAAACUCGUUUUGAUGAUGACUACUACCAUCACAUACAUGCCAACUUCCUGGUGAUGCGGGAUGUUGGCUCUGUAGGUUCAGUUCCAGUACUCUUCUUUGCUGAACUUAGCAAUGACGAUGAUGGCGACAAGGACAGCCAGCUUUUAUGUUGCCCUGUGGAUUUUCCAACACCAGGGGCUGAGUCAGUGCGCCGCCUUUUCUGCAAGCUAGAAGGGAUCAGGAUUGCGCAUGAUGGAGACCACGGUCUGGAGGGAUCCACGACCGCGAUAAUGAAAACGGCACCCAAGUCGCCCACCCGUGCUCACUCCCAGCCUUUCCUCUGGACGCGACGCAAGGAUCGGUGGAGCACCACCGAGCUUAGCACCAACCACGACCUCCAGUUUUCUUUGGAGACAACGAAUGGACGCUUCAGUGCUAGCCGGCCGGUGGCCACGCAUUGGCAGCCACUGCUUGGAUACAUAACUCCAGCCAGCUAUGGUGAGCAGACUUUGAUCUUGGAGGUGGUCAUCAAGUUUGAGAUGGCAAGUGUAGAUAGUAAAACUCCAGCUGUUAUUUUGCUAGAUGGGUCGGUAUCAUCCCAACAUUGA
RNAcentral lists this ribosomal RNA (1026 nucleotides) under Triticum aestivum (bread wheat). RNAcentral describes it as "partial small subunit ribosomal RNA". The record is from RNAcentral. Lineage: Eukaryota; Viridiplantae; Streptophyta; Magnoliopsida; Poales; Poaceae.